GCUUUAUACAUGCAAGUCGAACGAUGAAGUUCCUUCGGGAAUGGAUUAGUGGCGAACGGGUGAGGAACACGUGAGAAACCUGCCUUUCAUUCUGGGAUAACACCGGGAAACCGGUGCUAAUACCGGAUACUCCAUCUUGGCGGCAUCGCCGAGCUGGGAAAAAAUUUUGAUGAAAGAUGGUCUCGCGGCCUAUCAGCUAGUUGGUGAGGUAAAGGCUCACCAAGGCGACGACGGGUAGCCGGCCUGAGAGGGCGACCGGCCACACUGGGACUGAGACACGGCCCAGACUCCUACGGGAGGCAGCAGUAGGGAAUAUUGGGCAAUGGGCGAAAGCCUGACCCAGCGACGCCGCGUGAGGGAUGAAGGUCUUCGGAUUGUAAACCUCUUUCAGUAGGGAAGAAGCGAAAGUGACGGUACCUAAAGAAGAAGCACCGGCUAACUAUGUGCCAGCAGCCGCGGUAAUACAUAGGGUGCAAGCGUUGUCCGGAAUUAUUGGGCGUAAAGAGCUCGUAGGUCGUUUGUCGCGUCGAUUGUGAAAAUCUGAGGCUCAACCUCAGACCUGCAGUCGAUACGGGCAAACUAGAGUGUGGUAGGGGAGACUGGAAUUCCUGGUGUAGGGGUGGAAUGCGCAGAUAUCAGGAGGAACACCAAUGGCGAAGGCAGGUCUCUGGGCCAUAACUGACACUGAGGAGCGAAAGUGCGGGGAGCGAACAGGAUUAGAUACC
Molecule: ribosomal RNA, 725 nt
Filed under: uncultured bacterium
Lineage: Bacteria
Description: bacterial SSU rRNA
Rfam family: Bacterial small subunit ribosomal RNA
Source: RNAcentral